Molecule: long non-coding RNA, 3631 nt
Filed under: Canis lupus familiaris (dog)
Lineage: Eukaryota; Metazoa; Chordata; Mammalia; Carnivora; Canidae
Description: lncRNA (ENSCAFG00845012814.1)
Source: RNAcentral
UUUUUUUUUUUUUAAUUUUAGGUGGAAGAAAAAUUUAAAUCAGGAAAUCCUAAGUGCAUAUGUUUUCUAACAUUCACUAUUUUUCAAUCAUUUUUACAUAAUGUAAUAGUAGUACCUUUAGCAACUAAAUAUUAAACCAAAUUAUAUGGAAACAAAGCCAUAUUUAUUUUGUAUACAAAGUUACUUAGUCUAUAUGAUAUUCAGAAAAGUACAAAAUUACCAUAACAAGAACAUAAGUCAAACAAAUAUGUGAUUACACUCAUUUGAGUCUUGGUAGGCAUAUAACCCAAGUAAAGGAGCAGAAAUACACUUUCUUGCCAAUAGUAGGUUCCUAGCCACAAGAGUUGAGAUGCCUACAGAUAUAAGUUGCUAUGUUUUGCUGUAGGAAUGAAGGAUGUUGAUUAAAUUGGAGAGGCAUUUAUGCAGAGCUAAUAGAAGAGAGUUUCACUCAUGCAUAUUUAAUGUCAUUUAUUUUGUUAAUUCUAAGCUUCAUAAAGACAGAAAUAUCACCUGUCUUGUUCACAACUAUGAUUCCCAGUAUAUGGCACUACGUCUUAUAACUGGUAAAAAAUUAAUAGUAAAAAUUUAAUGAAGAAAAGGCAUUAUCAAGCCUUUUGUACAGCACACAUGCAUAUACUAGAAUAUGGACAGCAUACAAAAAUAUUAAUGUCACAGGAAAUCAAAUGACCAUCUUAAGAACUAUCCAACUAUCAAAUUGACAAAAUUUAGAAAAUUAUAACAAGGGCAGCCCCGGUGGCGCAGCGGUUUAGCGCCGCCUGCAGCCUAGGGCGUGAUCCUGGAGACCCUGGAUCAAGUCCCACGUCAGGCUCCCUGCAUGGAGCCUGCUUUUCCCUCUGCCUCUCUCUCUGUGUAUGUCUCUACGAAUAAAUAAAUAAAUAAUCUUUAAAAACGUAAAUAAAUAAAAUUAUAACAAUAAUUAGUGAAGUAGGAAUGAUGGAAUAGGCACGCUGUUAUAUAUAAAUAUAAAUUCAUACAUUUUUCAGAGGGGCACAAUUUUACGUGUUCAAAAGCCUCAAAAACAUUAAUAUAUCCUAAAUACUUCAGAGAGAUAUAUAUAAAGAUUUAUGUAUAAGAUAUUUUUACAGAUAUAUUCGUGUCAGUAAAAGAAAUGUAAAUUGCCUAAAUAUUUACUAGGAGAUUGAUUAAAUAAAUAAUGUGACAUCUAUAUGUUGUAAUAUUAUGCAUACAUUUAAAUAAUGUAUUCGUACACUAUUUAAUUAUGUAGAAAUACUUACUGAAAAUUAAAAACUAAACUGCAUAUUUACAAAAUCACAUUUAUUAUAAAACAUAUGCAGAUACAAAAGAAAAAUAAUAAAAUGGAAAGAAUUUAUCUACUUUGGGGUGAAAAUGUCUUUGAAGAUUUUGUUUCUUCUUUAUGCUUCCUUUUGUUAAUUUUUUCUCUUAUGAACAUAUGUUUUACAAAUCAGAACAAAAAUUUCCUUAAAAGCUUUUUCAUUUUAAUUUCUGUAUUAGUUUUUUGUUCUUUGAAAAUAUCAUCAGAAAACUAAUUUUGAUUACAUUUACUGAAUGGAGAGAGGGUGUGAAGUUUUGUGAACAUUAAAAUACUAGCCUAAUAUGACUCGCCUAAUUUUAAGGUGUCACAUUUGAUAAAAUGUUAGCAGUAAAAAGAACAUCAGAGAUGCCCUAAUUAAACCUCCAUCUUCAGCCAUAAGUGGCCAUGCACUAUUUCCACAUUAAGCUUUCCAUGAUAAUGUGUUUCAAAUUUGGCACGUACUUUUACUUGUUUGGGAAACAAGAAUUGGGAUGUAGAAAAUAAUACAACUAAUGGGCCAAUAUUCUCUACUCUAAUAAGCAUUUACAUUUUAAAAUGUGUCAGUAAACAAUACUUAUUAUACAUGAAAACCUUACACAUUGACUAUUCAUGACUUGAAAUAGUUUCAUAGCUUGAAAAUAGUUUCUGAGUUGUAAGUGAAUUUUUUUAAAAAAAAGUUAAGUUACAGAAAAAGAAAAUAAAUAGCAUUUUUCCACUGGGUUAUUAAUGUUUUAUUCUGCUUCAUUAUGUUUUCCUUUUUCAGUUGUUUACUAUUAAAGUGCUUUUUUCCUGGUUCAUAGUUAACCUAUAUUUUAUAGCCUUUGCAUUUACAUUGAGAACAUAUGACUGAAAAAUGAAAUAUAGGCUUCCAGGCUUAUCUCUAAACACUCUGUAGCAAUUGCUCAUAUUGUAUGUCAUAUUUAAAGAUUAUGGGGUUACUACAUGCAAGGGUGCUGAAUCCCUAAAUCACUUUUAAAAUUUUAUUUAUUUGGGAGAGAGAAAAAGUUUCUACUCUCUCUCUGGGGGAGCAGAGUGAGAGGGACAAGCAAACUCUGCAUGGAGCACAGAGCCAGAUUUGGGGGGGGGUGGGGCUCGAUCUUAUGACCCUGAGAUCAUGACCUGAGCCCAAAUCAAGAGUUGGUCACUUAACUGACUGAGUCACCAAGGAGCCACCCUUUAAUCACUUUUUGUAUGAAAAAUUAUCAGGAAAAUUAUGCAAUUAUGAACAUCCACUGACUUUGCAUAAGUGAAAAUAGCACAAAAGUUGUGUGAUUACUUAUUGUAGCAGCUAGCUUUAAUUACACUGACUAAUACAAAAAAAAACAGCACCUCAAAAUUUGAGGUUGAUGUAACAAAAACUACAAUAUGUAACAUUAGCUUAGUUGUUGGGCAGCAGAUAUUAAGAAUGUGGAUAAAGCAGGUUGGUCGAUUGGUGAUUGCAAUGAAAGGACAUUUAAAAACUGUCACCUGUGCUCCUGUGGUAGCUUGGAGGACAGUCCAAUGCUUACUGAGCUUUUAGUUCUAGAGAUGCUUGGAAUAUUCAUGUUAGUAAUACGUAUUAUUGUUAUUGAUGGUUUCAGCAAAGUAUUACAAGAAAGAGAUGAGCUCAGAAAAUAAUUAGCAGAUUUAAUGCAGAACUGAAAAGGAAUACAGAAGUUCAGAAAAAUAAGCAAGAGAUAGUCUUUGAAAAACUGGAAAACCAAGACCUACUGAGAUUUCUCAGGUGCACAGAGUGACUAAGAUUUGUGCCAAAGAUCAAAGAAAGGGCAAGCUCUACUCACUCAAGCUUGACAACCUCAAAAUUAUCUGAGUUGAAGUUGAAUACAGAGACAUGACAGCAAGGUAGCAAAGAAAUGAAACAUAUUUGAGAACAAAGUCCGAUAGUUUUAGCUACUUGCACUUGAAGUUGACUGGAAGCUAAUAUUUUUUCCAAGUUUUUAAAAGAAUUAUAUUGCCAAAUAGACACAAGUCCAUAUUAGAAGUAUUUGACUCUGUAAUUCUUUUUUUUAAAGAUGUAUGUAUGUAUGUAUGUAUGUAUCUGGUAUGUAUUUAUUUAUUUAUUUGGGAAGAACACAAGCUGGGGGAGUGGCAGAGGAAGAGGUUGAGAAGCAGGCACCCCUUGAGCAGGGAGCUUGAUAUGGGGCUCAAUCUCAGGACCCUGGCAUCAUGACCUGAGCCAAAGGCAGAUGCUUAACCGACUGAGUCACUCAGGUGCCCCUUUGACUCUGUAAUUCCUAAAAAUUCUUUUGGACACUCAUAUUUCCAUGAACAUGAGAUUGGUUCUGUAAAUUGAAUAGCCAAGAAAGGACUUUACAGAUGGCCAUGGAGAAUAAGAAG